Molecule: ribosomal RNA, 253 nt
Filed under: uncultured bacterium
Lineage: Bacteria
Description: partial 16S ribosomal RNA
Rfam family: Bacterial small subunit ribosomal RNA
Source: RNAcentral
UACGUAGGGCGCAAGCGUUGUCCGGAAUUAUUGGGCGUAAAGAGCUCGUAGGCGGUUUGUCGCGUCCGCUGUGAAAGCCCGGGGCUUAACCCCGGGUCUGCAGUGGAUACGGGCAGGCUAGAGGUAGGUAGGGGAGAAUGGAAUUCCCGGUGUAGCGGUGAAAUGCGCAGAUAUCGGGAGGAACACCGGUGGCGAAGGCGGUUCUCUGGGCCUUACCUGACGCUGAGGAGCGAAAGCGUGGGGAGCGAACAGG